RNAcentral lists this unclassified non-coding RNA (305 nucleotides) under plant metagenome. Its description in RNAcentral is "partial contains 5.8S ribosomal RNA, internal transcribed spacer 2, and large subunit ribosomal RNA". The stretch from base 1 to 105 matches the Rfam family "5.8S ribosomal RNA", at positions 50 to 154 of the family's 154-position model. The record is from RNAcentral.
GAAAUGCGAUAAGUAAUGUGAAUUGCAGAAUUCAGUGAAUCAUCGAAUCUUUGAACGCACAUUGCGCCCGCCAGUAUUCUGGCGGGCAUGCCUGUUCGAGCGUCAUUUCAACCAUCAAGCCCCCGGCUUGUGUUGGGGACCUGCGGCUGCCCGCAGGCCCUGAAAAACAGUGGCGGGCUCGCUGUCACACCGAGCGUAGUAGCUUACAUUCUCGCUCAGGGCGUGCUGCGGGUUCCGGCCGUUAAACGACCUUCAUAACCCAAGGUUGACCUCGGAUCAGGUAGGAAGACCCGCUGAACUUAAGC